UCGUCAUCGUAGGGUUAGUCGGGACCUAAGUCGAGUCCGAAAGGGGUAGACGAUGGCAAAUAGGUUAAUAUUCCUAUACCGACAUACAAUCGUUUGAGUGAUGGGGGGACGCAUAGAGUUAAAGGGGGUCACUGAUGGAAUAGUGGCUCGAAGGACGUAGGUUGWGAAGUAGGCAAAUCCGCUUCWCAUGMRACCGAGAUCUUACAGGCAGUUCAAUCUCUUCGGAGAGCGGACUGAACCCUUGAUACUGUCGUGCCGAGAAAAGCCUCUAAACGAGAUUGUAUGUUGCCCGUACCGUAAACCGACACAGGUGGGUGAGAUGAGUAUUCUAAGGCGCGUGGAUGAACCCUGGUUAAGGAACUCUGCAAACUAGCACCGUAUCUUCGGUAUAAGGUGUGCCUACAUUGUUAAGGGAUUUACUCCCUAAAGCAAUCUAAGGUCGCAGCAAAGUGUCCCUCCCGACUGUUUAC
This 470-nucleotide ribosomal RNA is filed under the name uncultured bacterium. RNAcentral's name for it is "bacterial LSU rRNA". It matches the Rfam family "Bacterial large subunit ribosomal RNA", at positions 1367 to 1807 of the family's 2925-position model. The record is from RNAcentral.